AAAUACAAGAAAGCGUCUGUAUGGCCGUGGUUCAACCAGAAACUUCACUUGUAGUAAUCAUCAAGGUACGCAGUGCACGUGGUAUUGUUCUGACCAUGACGUUUUUUGCUGCUCGGCAUGUAAGGAGUCAGAUCAUAGAUCCUGUGUUGGAUUAAAGCAAGUAGUAUCAGAAAGGUCUUACGGGAAACAGAAUCGAACACUUGCCGUUAAACGUAAGAUAGGAGACUAUAAUGUACAGAUAAAGAAUCGUUUGAUUAACAGAGACGACAAUGAUGAAUAUGAUUGUGAGAUACGCAGUAUCCAUAUGCUUCCUGAUGGUAACGUUCUCCUUCUUGAUGCCUAUAACGGUAAACUGAAGAAAAUUGACAGUUCGUACAAGGUCGUCAGUCACUGUCAUUUUUCGAACGAGCUCUGUAGUUUGAGUGACGUGAGUUAUAUAGGUGACGGUAAAGCUGUUGUCUGUUUUACGAUUGGUAGAAUUCAGUAUGUUAAUGUAUCGGGUAAGAUGAAGGUUGAGAAUGAUGUACAGCUUGACCACUACUGUUACGCUCUGGCUUGUCAUGGUGAUACACUCUAUGUCGGAGAUGAUGACGCGAUAUAUAUACCUAUACCAUACACUCUCAGGGGAAGCAUCUUCUUUACAACCUAAAAAAUACAUUUUCGAUUUUCCUCCGUAUUGCUAUCAGUGAUGACGGUGAACGAAUGUAUAUUACAACUGGUAAUACACCACUUAUAACAAUAGAUAACAAAGGAAACCAUCUGUUUACUUUGAAGACUGUCAUAGGGCAUCCAAAACGAGAUGUAUGUGUUGUUGGGGACGGUACUGUACUUGUAUUAGACAUAGAAGGAAGCGUACAUCAGGUUGAUUAUACCGGUAAACAAGUUCUUGGAACAAUUGUUGUUGACUGGACAUAUGAUAUAGAUAUGAUACGCAGGUUGUGCUUUGAUAGACAACGAUGUAGACUAAUCUUAAAAAGCAACAGAGAAAACUGUAUAUCUGUCUUUAAGCUACAGCAUCGCAAACGUGAUACAGAAAUGAAUUAACGUAUUGGAUGCAAGAAAAUGCUAAAAAAAUAUACAUUAGUUUAAACUAUAAUUUAAUACAUUCAUUGUGUUAAGAGUGAAGAACAUACAUGAGUUGAAUACGGAAUCCUCUUCGUGCCACUUAAAUUCUCGCCUCGCCAACACGCUACAACGCGAUAAUUAACGCAUUCUCGCCUUGUCCGAAAACAUUAUAUACAUGCGAGAUUUAACAAUCCUCGCGAGGUUAAAAGCGCGAUUAUUAUCGUCUAAAUUUUCGCUUGUCUUUCUUAAACCUCGCAUCAUGAAAUUGAAAUCAAAUAUACAUUAUUGCGAGAAUUUGUAAAGUAAAACCUCGCAUUGUCGCCCGGUGAUAGGGAUUAUUUCUUACUAUAGCACCGUUGGUGAAAAUUUCUGCUACACCGUUGACAAAGGGAAACUAAGGAACCCUGUUAGAGUCCCAUUGAAUCCCGACAAAAUAUUGUCAAAAAAAAAAACGAGUAUGAAAACAAUUUUCUACACGCCGUCGGAAAAAUUUGCUAAACUUUGCAAUUUUUGCUUAAAAUAUUAGCCGUUAAAUAAGACUUGUGCUUAUGAAAUAUUUAUUUUACGUAAAUAACUGCAAAUAAAACUUUUUUGUAGCUUAAAUAUCUACCAACAUAUCCAUAUAAGGUAUGGGUAGGUACCCGGGAUUGAGAGACUCGAAAAAACGGUCAAAACCUAACCUAGUGUCAUUAUUACAAUACCGUACCUCCAUGUAUUACCUCCCAUGACACAGAUGGCCCUCACAAAUACUUAAACAUGAUCUCACUCAAUGGAUCAAAUUUGAUUUCCUGCAAAAAAAAAAAAAAAAAAAAAAUCGGAGACAAAAAUAUUUUUAAUAUUUAUUAAUUAUUCAGGAAUUCGAGUUUAAUCUAUUUCACCGACGGAACUGCCUUCACAAAUAAAACAUCUUACCCUAAACUAAUAUUUUUGGGUGUUAAUGGUUGUUGGGGUGGGUAUCUUUAAAAAAACUUUGAAAAAUGCGAAAAAAAGUUUGGUGUAAUAAAAAAUAGUAUUAGUAAGUGCUAGGCACAAACUUUAAAACAAAUGAGUGAUGAAUAAAUUUUGACCCUCAAGGAAGUGACCUUUACCUGAUCAAUACAUACAAAAAUCACUGGGAAAAUCAAAUUUUAGUCGGGUUUUAUAUUUUUCAAGUCCAGUGCUGCAGACAUAUUAUUAUAAUUACAAUAUAUAGAGAAUAUUAGGUUACUGUCUUUCUUAACUUAAGUUUAUCCACCGAGUUGGAGAAAGGUUUAUCCCCCUCGGCAAGCCUUCGGAGACGAGGUGGAUAAACUUAAGUUAAGAAAGACAGUAACCUAAUAUUCUAUUUAUCCUGCAGUCAAUAACAUCUCUGUAAUACUAUAACAUAUAUUUACUUUCAAAAUGUCUUUUUUCUAUACAAAAAUAAUCCAGAUUUUCACUCACUUGUGAAUUCCUACGCCCUUCAACCCCCUUGUCUGCUUGAUCCAGUUACACAAGAUUCCUUACAAUAAAACAUUAUUUCAUUGCCUUCUGAAUUUCUGUGGAUUAUAAAUCAUCGGUGCUAACAGGGCAUCCGCGUACGAAACAAGCAGAAUGGUUUUCACUCGGAUAAAAUACAGCCGAAAACCACGCUUGAGAUGAAUUCAAAUGCCCGCAGUCUUAAAUUUACUUCAUUUUCGUACAAGGCAAUGUGAGAUAAUGAAAUUCCUUCCACCAUGAAUGGUUUAGAUCCAAUAAUUACAAUAAACGACUGCUUAAAUCUGGUUAUUUGUGUAAAUUUCUAACUAAAAAAUGAGUGAACGCCAAAUAAACAAAGUCAAGGACGAUUCACUCAAACUUUAAAAACCAUCAUUAGGUUUACUAGGAUAGAGUGAACCAAUUUUAAUUUUUUUUCACCGUGGCUGUCCUCAUAAAAUAAUUAAAUAUUUGAGCUUUGAACUCUUAGCCCAGUUUACAUUGCCUAUAGCACAUAUACUUGAAGAAGUAGUUCGUCAGUCGCAUUGACGGUAUAAACCUGCAUUGACUGAAUAAACCUCAACUUUACACGGCAGGCAGAUAUUGGCCUGAUAAAUGCAUAGUGGUAGGAAAAAAUGUACAUAAAUGUCGUAGCUACAAAAUAAGAACAUAACACGAAAUGAUGUUACAGGAAAUAAGUUAGCAGCCUAGCAGCGUGAAGUUGACGGUCUAGCAGCCCAGCGGCCUAGCAACGUGAAGUUAACAUCCUAGUAGCCUAGCGGCCUAGCAUCUUUAACAUUAUUUUUAAAUGAGUAAUCGUUCACACCAAGACUUCAAUCCAUUUUAGAUCCAACCAUCUAGCAAUUUUGCAACCGAAAAAACGAGCAGCCUAGUAGCCUAUCGGCCUAGCAGCCUACAUAUUAUCUUGUUGAAGUCACUGCCGCUUCAGAGAG
This is a long non-coding RNA of Mercenaria mercenaria, 3452 nucleotides long. RefSeq lists it as uncharacterized. The record is from RefSeq and is a predicted model, not a curated record. The transcript has 3 exons. Lineage: Eukaryota; Metazoa; Mollusca; Bivalvia; Venerida; Veneridae.